AAAGUGUUAGGAACCUCUCACUUCCAUUGUACUCAAUGUGAUCCUCCUAUAAUCCUAGGGUUAGUAUGUGUUUCUAAGGGAAUAUUUACCUGUAUUUUUUAUCUAUUUAUUCUUGCUUAAUUUAUUUAUUUACAAGAAAUAAUUUUUUUAUUAAGAGGAAAUGUUGAAAAAAGGGACAAAGAAAACGUUUUUGGUUAUUGUAUUCGCUAGAGUGCUA
Molecule: long non-coding RNA, 217 nt
Filed under: Lathyrus oleraceus (garden pea)
Lineage: Eukaryota; Viridiplantae; Streptophyta; Magnoliopsida; Fabales; Fabaceae
Description: Pisum sativum (pea) long non-coding RNA (PSAT_LNC000049)
Source: RNAcentral